This 643-nucleotide ribosomal RNA is filed under the name Cortinarius sp. Daniel 1. Its description in RNAcentral is "eukaryotic LSU rRNA". It matches the Rfam family "Eukaryotic large subunit ribosomal RNA", at positions 1 to 625 of the family's 3401-position model. The record is from RNAcentral. Lineage: Eukaryota; Fungi; Basidiomycota; Agaricomycetes; Agaricales; Cortinariaceae.
GUGACCUCAAAUCAGGUAGGACUACCCGCUGAACUUAAGCAUAUCAAUAAGCGGAGGAAAAGAAACUAACAAGGAUUCCCCUAGUAACUGCGAGUGAAGCGGGAAAAGCUCAAAUUUAAAAUCUGUCAGUCUUUGGCUGUCCGAGUUGUAAUCUAGAGAAGUGUUAUCCGCGCUGGACCGUGUACAAGUCUCCUGGAAUGGAGCGUCAUAGAGGGUGAGAAUCCCGUCUUUGACACGGACUGCCAGGGCUUUGUGAUACGCUCUCAAAGAGUCGAGUUGUUUGGGAAUGCAGCUCAAAAUGGGUGGUAAAUUCCAUCUAAAGCUAAAUAUUGGCGAGAGACCGAUAGCGAACAAGUACCGUGAGGGAAAGAUGAAAAGAACUUUGGAAAGAGAGUUAAACAGUACGUGAAAUUGCUGAAAGGGAAACGCUUGAAGUCAGUCGCGUUGUCCAGGGAUCAGCCUUGCUUUUGCUUGGUGUACUUUCUGGUUGACGGGUCAGCAUCAAUUUUGACUGUUGGAAAAAGGUCGGGGGAAUGUGGCAUCUUCGGAUGUGUUAUAGCCCUUGGUUGCAUACAAUGGUUGGGAUUGAGGAACUCAGCACGCCGCAAGGCCGGGUAACUAUUACCACGUACGUGCUAGGAUG